GACGAACGCUGGCGGCGUGCUUAACACAUGCAAGUCGAACGGAAAGGCCCUGCUUUUGUGGGGUGCUCGAGUGGCGAACGGGUGAGUAACACGUGAGUAACCUGCCCUUGACUUUGGGAUAACUUCAGGAAACUGGGGCUAAUACCGGAUAGGAGCUCCUGCUGCAUGGUGGGGGUUGGAAAGUUUCGGCGGUUGUGGAUGGACUCGCGGCUUAUCAGCUUGUUGGUGGGGUAGUGGCUUACCAAGGCUUUGACGGGUAGCCGGCCUGAGAGGGUGACCGGCCAAAUUGGGACUGAGAGACGGCCCAGAAUCCUACGGGAGGGAGCAGUGGGGAAUAUUGCACAAUGGGGGGAAGCCUGAUGCAGCAAAGCCGCGUGCGGGAUGAAGGCCUUCGGGUUGUAAAAAGCUUUCGCCUGUGACGAAGCGAGAGUGACGGUAAUGGGUAAAGAAGCACCGGCUAACUACGUG
RNAcentral lists this ribosomal RNA (468 nucleotides) under uncultured bacterium. Its description in RNAcentral is "partial 16S ribosomal RNA". It matches the Rfam family "Bacterial small subunit ribosomal RNA", at positions 28 to 507 of the family's 1533-position model. The record is from RNAcentral.